CUCUCUCUCUCUCUCUCUCCCCCAGAACUGGAACCCUAGCCGGCCGCUAUUCCCCCUCUCGCCUUGCCCAGAUCCACCCCCCUCUCCCCUCAACUCGGUCCCGAGCUCGACCGAGCGAGCUCGUCGCCGCUGGCCUCCAUUCCCGCGGCCACCUUCGUUCCCGCACCGCGCCUCCCUGUCCGUUCGCUCCGCCGACAUCAUCUACAUCGAAUACAAGCCGUCGCUGGAGCCCCUCGUGCCGGAGCAACCGGAUCGAGCCGGUCUUCCUCCACUGCUCCGCUGUCGCCAUCGCCGGAAUCCGCGCCGCCGCGAGCACCUCGAGUCCUCCCCAGGCCUUCUCUGCAGAGACCAUGGUGGAGCCCAGGAGCCAGAUACUACCGCCGAUGACUACUACUACCCCAACGGAGCCUACUUCUACGUGAAGACUGCCGACGACAAGGAGUAGUUAGGAGGCUCCCAGGCAGGAGGCCUUGCCUUUUCGAUCGAUGUUGCUUUUGUGCUAGCCUUCUUAAGGCAAACUUGUUCAACUUAUGUCUGUACUAAGAUAUUAUUGCUUCCACUAACUCUUGUGUAUUUGUAAUAUAAAGCUUGUAUUAUUUUAA
This is a long non-coding RNA of Triticum aestivum (bread wheat), 602 nucleotides long. RefSeq lists it as uncharacterized. NCBI's taxonomy places the organism in Eukaryota, Viridiplantae, Streptophyta, Magnoliopsida, Poales, Poaceae. The transcript has 2 exons. The record is from RefSeq and is a predicted model, not a curated record.